CGGCCCGCCUGUUUAUCAAAAACAUAGCCUAGAGUUAUUUUAUUCUAGGUGGGCCCUGCCCGGUGCAAGUUUUGUUAACGGCCGCAGUACUUUGACUGUGCAAAGGUAGCGUAAUCAGUUGGCCUUUAAAUGGGGUCAAGUAUGAAUGGGUUUACGGGGGGCGGCUGUCUCUUUGCUAUUCUCUCAAAUUUGCUAAAAAGGUGAAAAUUCCUUUAUUAAACAACAAAAGACGAGAAGACCCUUAGAAUUUUAAAUCAAGGGCUUAAUUAAGUCCUAUUUUUUUGUUGGGGCGACAGAGAAACAAAAGGAUAACUUUCUUUUGGGGUAGGAUACCAGACAGCUGUUAGCAAGAAAGAAUAAAUUACCUUAGGGAUAACAGCAUAAUUCAAUUUUGAGCUUGUGACCUCGAUGUUGGACUAGGAACCUUAUAACUAGCAGUUAGACAGGACUGUUCUGUUCGAACAUCUUACUCCUACAUGAUCUGAGUUCAAACCGGAGCUCCAA
Molecule: ribosomal RNA, 504 nt
Filed under: Latia neritoides
Lineage: Eukaryota; Metazoa; Mollusca; Gastropoda; Latiidae
Description: partial 16S ribosomal RNA
Rfam family: Bacterial large subunit ribosomal RNA
Source: RNAcentral